This 240-nucleotide ribosomal RNA is filed under the name uncultured bacterium. Its description in RNAcentral is "partial 16S ribosomal RNA". It matches the Rfam family "Bacterial small subunit ribosomal RNA", at positions 94 to 334 of the family's 1533-position model. The record is from RNAcentral.
AGCGGCGGACGGGUGAGUAACGCGUGGGUAACCUGCCUCAUACAGGGGGAUAACAGUUGGAAACGGCUGCUAAUACCGCAUAAGCGCACAGUACCGCAUGGUACGGUGUGAAAAACUCCGGUGGUAUGAGAUGGAUCCGCGUCUGAUUAGGUAGUUGGUGGGGUAACGGCCCACCAAGCCGACGAUCAGUAGCCGACCUGAGAGGGUGACCGGCCACAUUGGGACUGAGACACGGCCCAA